GCCUGGGUGGCUCAGUCAGUUAAGCAUCUGACUUCAGCUCAGGUCCUGAUCCUGUGGUCUGCAGUCCAUGGGUUCGAGCCCCACAUCAGGCU
This is a transfer RNA of Felis catus (domestic cat), 92 nucleotides long. It matches the Rfam family "tRNA". Rfam says of the family: Transfer RNA (tRNA) molecules are approximately 80 nucleotides in length. The record is from Rfam. NCBI's taxonomy places the organism in Eukaryota, Metazoa, Chordata, Mammalia, Carnivora, Felidae.